CUUGGGGGAAACGAGGGUGCCCCCGCCCCGCGUGCCUGGCUCUGCCUGGGCCCCCUUGGUCCCAUCCAAGGAGCCCCAAGGAGGGGAUGGGCCUGCUCCACCUUCCUCACCGGCUCCAAACCGGGGCCAUUUCGCGGGUUCAUGCACUUUGCUGCCCAGUCUUCUGGCAUUCUCGCUCAGCUGCCACGUGCAAAAAAGAAAAUCCACCCUUUUAACAGUUCACAAGGAAACUGCUAUUUGGACAACUAAGCAAGUUUUUACUGCAAUAAGCAGCAAGGUGCAGUAAGUCCUCAUGUUAGUAGAUAAAGGACUGUUGUAUAUGUUACCUCAUGUACAGUACUGAAAUUAUUCUGUGUUAUUUCUAGUUUGAUCUGUAGUAUGAAUGUGUGCAACAUUUCUCUGAAUUGUAAAACAGCAGUGUAAGGAAUUUACUUCUAAAAGCAAUGUUAAUUUUAUAUAUAAUAUUUUAUAUUAUAUAUAUAUAUUAUAUUGUAUAUAAUGCAAUAUAUAUUAUAUAAUUUAAUAGAUUAGAUUUAUAUAGAGAGAGAAAGUUCUAUAUAGAGAGAAAGUUCAAAAUAGGGAAAUGAACUUUUUUUUUGUAUUCUUACCCUUUCGAUACUGUGCUGUAAACGCAAUUUCAUCCUUACAACUUCCUGUUGUCUAAAAAGUUCCUUAAGUGGAUCUGACAGCGAUGGCGGUGGUGUAAUCUAGGAAAAAAUUGUUACAAAUUUGAAUUUAACAUAUACAGUUUACCUGGACUGGCUUUAUAAUUGCAAAUAUGCAUUUAAAAAUAAAAGCAUGAACAGAAUAUUUUUCACUGGAAAAGUAUAUCAUAAACAGCCCCAGGAAUGUAACUGAAUUCACAGACUUUUGUUCUAAUCUAUUAAUUACACCACUGUCUACCCUUUUAUUAAAUCAUAGAAUUAAAGAUUCAUUUAAAAAAAGCUAAAAUCUGUCCAUCUGUGGUUUAGUGCAGUUUAAAACAACUAUAAAGACUUCUAAUAGGAAAGUAAAUUAUUUAAGCAUCAUUUGUUAUGUGCAGACAGUGCACCUAGGACUGUAUAAGACACACAAAAGAAGAAAGUCCCUAUCCCAAGAAUCUUGCAAUUAGAACACACAAAUGAGACAAAAUGCACUGGACAGUCCAAAGGAAGUAUUUAUAGAAGUGGUAUUGAUUUUUAAUAAUGGGUAGAGGACCUCAUUUUUUACGUCCCACUCCAAGAUAGCAAAACAUUCAGAUAUAUUUCCAUGUCUGCUGUUUUGUACUAGUAUUAAGUUGAGGGCAGUUGCACAUGUUUAUUAUUAUAUGAGAAGCUUCAGAUUUAAAUGAAGGAAAUAAGUAUUAUAUAGUUAACUAGUCUGUACAACAAAACACUGUAAACGUAAUUGUAGUCAUGAUAGUAACCAGACAGCAAAAUUAGAGUUGUCUGAGAGGUCAUCAGAACCCUGAAAUGCUCAUUAAAACUUUGUCCAAAGUGUUCUUGUUUUAUAUAUACUGCAUUUCUGUAUUUUUAUUCUUUACCUAGCAAGAAUAUUUCAUAACUAUUUGAUAAAUAGAAGAACACUUGAUACUACUUUGGAUGGACUACUCAAAACUAGCUGAAAUAUUGUUUGCCAUAACUGGUGUCUAGAUAGCACAGCAGAAAUACGUUUAUAGAUGAAUCAGUAAUAUUAUCCACUGUAUAUAAAACAAAUUGAUCUAAUAUCACAUGUUGCUAUUGUGGCUACUCUGGAGUACAAGGUAUUAUACCUACCUCACA
Long non-coding RNA from Chelonia mydas (Green sea turtle), 1760 nucleotides. RefSeq lists it as uncharacterized. The transcript is spliced from 3 exons. NCBI's taxonomy places the organism in Eukaryota, Metazoa, Chordata, Testudines, Cheloniidae. The record is from RefSeq and is a predicted model, not a curated record.